GAUGAACGCUGGCGGCGUGCCUAACACAUGCAAGUCGAACGGACUUACAUUGAAGCCUAGCGAUAUGUAAGUUAAUGGCGGACGGGUGAGUAACGCGUGGGUAACCUGCCUUGUACUGGGGGACAACAGUUGGAAACGACUGCUAAUACCGCAUAAGCGCACAGCUUCGCAUGAAGCAGUGUGAAAAACUCCGGUGGUACAAGAUGGACCCGCGUCUGAUUAGCUGGUUGGUGAGGUAACGGCCCACCAAGGCGACGAUCAGUAGCCGGCCUGAGAGGGUGAACGGCCACAUUGGGACUGAGACACGGCCCAAACUCCUACGGGAGGCAGCAGUGGGGAAUAUUGCACAAUGGGGGAAACCCUGAUGCAGCGACGCCGCGUGGAGGAAGAAGGUUUUCGGAUUGUAAACUCCUGUCGUUAGGGACGAUAAUGACGGUACCUAACAAGAAAGCACCGGCUAACUACGUG
Molecule: ribosomal RNA, 468 nt
Filed under: uncultured bacterium
Lineage: Bacteria
Description: bacterial SSU rRNA
Rfam family: Bacterial small subunit ribosomal RNA
Source: RNAcentral